Molecule: ribosomal RNA, 352 nt
Filed under: uncultured Glomus
Lineage: Eukaryota; Fungi; Glomeromycota; Glomeromycetes; Glomerales; Glomeraceae
Description: SSU rRNA
Rfam family: Eukaryotic small subunit ribosomal RNA
Source: RNAcentral
AGCAGCCGCGGUAAUUCCAGCUCCAAUAGCGUAUAUUAAAGUUGCUGCAGUUAAAAAGCUCGUAGUUGAAUUUCGGGACUAAUAUGUCGGUUGUGCCUCGGUACGUACUGGCAUUGUUGGUUUCUCCCUUCUGACGGACCAUGAUGUCAUUUAUUUGGUGUCGUGGGAAAUCAGGACUGUUACUUUGAAAAAAUUAGAGUGUUUAAAGCAGGCUCACGCUUGAAUACAUUAGCAUGGAAUAAUGAAAUAGGACGUUUGAUUCUAUUUUGUUGGUUUCUAGGAUCGACGUAAUGAUUAAUAGGGAUAGUUGGGGGCAUUAGUAUUCAAUUGUCAGAGGUGAAAUUCUUGGAUU